AUGCCACCAUGCCUGACUAAUUUUUUUUAUUUGUUGUAGAGGUGGGGUUUUACUGUGUUGCCGAGGCUGGUCUCGAACUCCUGAGUACAAGCAAUCUUCUGGCCUCAGCCUCUCAAAGUGCUGAGAUUACAGCGAACUUCUUGAGCACUGGUAAGGAACAUUUGGAGAAGAUUCUUCUAAGAAGGCCUGAUCCACUUGAUGCCCUGACAAAAGAAGUUAAUCUAUUAUGGUAAAGAAGACGAGGAGAGAAGAACUGACAUCAAACAUUUAGAAGAUAAUUAAGAGGACCUCAAGCUGCCUUAGCAGAGCGCAUCUCCUGAAGUGCAGAUAAAAUCAAUAUCAAGGCUCAGACAGACAUGGAGAUAAAAGUCCCAUGAAAGAAGACCUAGAGUUUUCAUUGAGUAGGACUCAGCACAAGAGCUGGCCCAGCUGCCUCAUCAUGGUUUGAACCUUUGUUUUCUUAUCUGUAAGAUAACACCUACGGUGCCAGGUUGAGUUUUUGGCAAGCAGAAAGUUAAUUUGCAGAAUUAUUAGAGAA
RNAcentral lists this long non-coding RNA (538 nucleotides) under Callithrix jacchus (white-tufted-ear marmoset). RNAcentral's name for it is "lncRNA (ENSCJAG00000084495.1)". Lineage: Eukaryota; Metazoa; Chordata; Mammalia; Primates; Cebidae. The record is from RNAcentral.